GWUGGUGAACCAGCGGAGGGAUCAUUACUGAGUUACCGCUCUACAACCCUUUGUGAACAUACCUAACCGUUGCUUCGGCGGGCAGGGGAAGCCUCUCGCGGGCCUCCCCUCCCGGCGCCGGCCCCACCACGGGGACGGGGCGCCCGCCGGAGGAAACCAAACUCUAUUUACACGACGUCUCUUCUGAGUGGCACAAGCAAAUAAUUAAAACUUUUAACAACGGAUCUCUUGGUUCUGGCAUCGAUGAAGAACGCAGCGAAAUGCGAUAAGUAAUGUGAAUUGCAGAAUUCAGUGAAUCAUCGAAUCUUUGAACGCACAUUGCGCUCGCCAGCAUUCUGGCGAGCAUGCCUGUUCGAGCGUCAUUUCAACCCUCAAGCACCGCUUGGUUUUGGGGCCCCACGGCAGACGUGGGCCCUUAAAGGUAGUGGCGGACCCUCCCGGAGCCUCCUUUGCGUAGUAACUAACGUCUCGCACUGGGAUCCGGAGGGACUCUUGCCGUAAAACCCCCAAAUUCUUUACAGGUUGACCUCGGAUCAGGUAGGAAUACCCGCUGAACUUAAGCAUAUCAAUANGCCGGAGGAA
RNAcentral lists this ribosomal RNA (582 nucleotides) under Colletotrichum acutatum. RNAcentral's name for it is "eukaryotic LSU rRNA". Lineage: Eukaryota; Fungi; Ascomycota; Sordariomycetes; Glomerellales; Glomerellaceae. The record is from RNAcentral.